RNAcentral lists this ribosomal RNA (789 nucleotides) under uncultured Terriglobales bacterium. RNAcentral describes it as "bacterial SSU rRNA". It matches the Rfam family "Bacterial small subunit ribosomal RNA", at positions 58 to 878 of the family's 1533-position model. The record is from RNAcentral. Lineage: Bacteria; Pseudomonadati; Acidobacteriota; Terriglobia; Terriglobales.
CAAGUCGCACGAGAAAGUGGAGCAAUCCAUGAGUACAGUGGCGCACGGGUGAGUAACACGUGAAUCAUCUACCUCCGAGUGGGGAAUAACCUAGAGAAAUCUGGGCUAAUACCGCAUAACACUUACGAGUCAAAGCAGCAAUGCGCUUGGAGAGGAGUUCGCGGCCGAUUAGCUAGUUGGCGGGGUAAUGGCCCACCAAGGCGAUGAUCGGUAUCCGGCCUGAGAGGGCGCACGGACACACUGGAACUGAAACACGGUCCAGACUCCUACGGGAGGCAGCAGUGGGGAAUUUUGCGCAAUGGGGGAAACCCUGACGCAGCAACGCCGCGUGGAGGAUGAAAUCCCUUGGGAUGUAAACUCCUUUCGAUGGGGAAGAUUAUGACGGUACCCAUAGAAGAAGCCCCGGCUAACUUCGUGCCAGCAGCCGCGGUAAUACGAGGGGGGCAAGCGUUGUUCGGAAUUAUUGGGCGUAAAGGGUGCGUAGGCGGUUUGACAAGUCUGAUGUGAAAUCUAUGGGCUCAACCCAUAGCCUGCAUCGGAAACUGUCGGGCUUGAGUAUGGGAGAGGUGAGUGGAAUUUCCGGUGUAGCGGUGAAAUGCGUAGAUAUCGGAAGGAACACCUGUGGCGAAAGCGGCUCACUGGACCAUUACUGACGCUGAGGCACGAAAGCUAGGGGAGCAAACAGGAUUAGAUACCCUGGUAGUCCUAGCCCUAAACGAUGAUUGCUUGAUGUGGCAGGUACCCAAUCCUGCCGUGUCGAAGCUAACGCGAUAAGCAAUCCGCCUGGGG